GACGAACGCUGGCGGCGUGCCUAAUACAUGCAAGUAGAACGCUGAAGGAGGAGCUUGCUUCUCCGGAUGAGUUGCGAACGGGUGAGUAACGCGUAGGUAACCUGCCUGGUAGCGGGGGAUAACUAUUGGAAACGAUAGCUAAUACCGCAUAACAGUAGAUGUUGCAUGACAUUUGCUUAAAAGGUGCAAUUGCAUCACUACCAGAUGGACCUGCGUUGUAUUAGCUAGUUGGUGAGGUAACGGCUCACCAAGGCGACGAUACAUAGCCGACCUGAGAGGGUGAUCGGCCACACUGGGACUGAGACACGGCCCAGACUCCUACGGGAGGCAGCAGUAGGGAAUCUUCGGCAAUGGACGGAAGUCUGACCGAGCAACGCCGCGUGAGUGAAGAAGGUUUUCGGAUCGUAAAGCCCUGUUGUAAGAGAAGAACGAGUGUGAGAGUGGAAAGUUCACACUGUGACGGUAUCUUACCAGAAAGGGACGGCUAACUACGUG
RNAcentral lists this ribosomal RNA (495 nucleotides) under uncultured bacterium. RNAcentral describes it as "partial 16S ribosomal RNA". It matches the Rfam family "Bacterial small subunit ribosomal RNA", at positions 28 to 507 of the family's 1533-position model. The record is from RNAcentral.